RNAcentral lists this ribosomal RNA (777 nucleotides) under Triticum aestivum (bread wheat). RNAcentral describes it as "partial small subunit ribosomal RNA". The record is from RNAcentral. Lineage: Eukaryota; Viridiplantae; Streptophyta; Magnoliopsida; Poales; Poaceae.
GCCGGCGGCGGGGGGCGCGGAGGAGGCAGAGGUCGAGGCCGAGGAGGAGAAGGUCGUGGUGGAGGAGAGGAGGAGGAUCUGCAGCUGCACAAGGCCGCGAGGUCGGGUGAUGCGGCGGCGGCGGAGUCGCUUUGCGAGUCCAACCCUCUCGCCCUCAACUCCAGAGACCGCCUCUCCCGCACCCCACUCCAUCUGGCGGCAUGGGCUGGGCAUGUUGAUGUUGUGAAAUGCCUUUGCAAGCACAAAGCGGAUGUCGGGGCUGCAGCAAUGGAUGACACCGCCGCGAUCCAUUUUGCUUCCCAGAAAGGUCAUUUGGAAGUGGUGCGUGAGCUGCUGGCGUCGGGGGCCUCUGUGAAAGCAAAGAACAGGAAAGGCUUCACGGCGUUGCACUUUGCUGCUCAGAACUCCCACCUGGAUCUUGUGAAGUAUUUAGUGAGGAGGGGCGUGGGCAUCACAACAAAGACAAAUGCAGGGCAAACGGCUCUACAUGUUGCAGAGAAUGAUGACGUUCGUGCUUUCCUGAAAGAGUGUGAGCAGUCACUGAAGAAGGGAGUGGAGCUACCAUCUGAGAAGAAGGAUGAUUCUGUAGCUGAGAAGGCUGAUGAUGGCAAGGUCUCAGGUGAAGCUAGAAAAGAUGGUGUUGAUGCCGAGCAGGGCGAGAAGAGGAAGAGUGAGGAGAUUGGUGCUGGGACGAGGCCGCCGGAGGUGAAGAAGGCCAAAGUUUCACUUUCGCAUCUUGAAAACGACAUGGAAGAAGAGGAUGAAGCAGACGACUAG